AACCCAUGGUGAGGCACAUUCUCAAUAAAUCAUUAUACCUCUCCUAUGCAUCAUAUAGAGUCUCUAAAUCCUUUUGCACGAAGGAAGAGAUAUCAUUCCUCAGCUU
Molecule: small nucleolar RNA, 106 nt
Filed under: Gossypium arboreum
Lineage: Eukaryota; Viridiplantae; Streptophyta; Magnoliopsida; Malvales; Malvaceae
Description: Plant small nucleolar RNA R71
Rfam family: Plant small nucleolar RNA R71
About the family: R71 is a member of the C/D box family of snoRNAs containing the C (UGAUGA) and D (CUGA) box motifs. Multiple nearly identical copies of this snoRNA have been identified in Arabidopsis, and it is thought to function as a 2'-O-ribose methylation guide for 18S ribosomal RNA.
Source: Rfam by way of RNAcentral